RNAcentral lists this ribosomal RNA (164 nucleotides) under Polygala comosa. RNAcentral's name for it is "5.8S ribosomal RNA". It matches the Rfam family "5.8S ribosomal RNA". Rfam says of the family: 5.8S ribosomal RNA (5.8S rRNA) is a component of the large subunit of the eukaryotic ribosome. It is transcribed by RNA polymerase I as part of the 45S precursor that also contains 18S and 28S rRNA. Functionally, it is thought that 5.8S rRNA may be involved in ribosome translocation. RNAcentral also lists the same sequence under 5 other names. Lineage: Eukaryota; Viridiplantae; Streptophyta; Magnoliopsida; Fabales; Polygalaceae. The record is from RNAcentral.
GAACGACUCUCGGCAACGGAUAUCUCGGCUCUCGCAUCGAUGAAGAACGUAGCGAAAUGCGAUACUUGGUGUGAAUUGCAGAAUCCCGUGAACCAUCGAGUCUUUGAACGCAAGUUGCGCCCGACGCCUUUUUGGUUGAGGGCACGUCUGCUUGGGUGUCACGC